Molecule: ribosomal RNA, 497 nt
Filed under: uncultured bacterium
Lineage: Bacteria
Description: partial 16S ribosomal RNA
Rfam family: Bacterial small subunit ribosomal RNA
Source: RNAcentral
GAUGAACGCUGGCGGCGUGCCUAAUACAUGCCAGUCGAGCGAACAGACGAGGAGCUUGCUCCUCUGACGUUAGCGGCGGACGGGUGAGUAACACGUGGAUAACCUACCUAUAAGACUGGGAUAACUUCGGGAAACCGGAGCUAAUACCGGAUAAUAUAUUGAACCGCAUGGUUCAAUAGUGAAAGACGGUUUUGCUGUCACUUAUAGAUGGAUCCGCGCCGCAUUAGCUAGUUGGUAAGGUAACGGCUUACCAAGGCAACGAUGCGUAGCCGACCUGAGAGGGUGAUCGGCCACGCUGGAACUGAGACACGGUCCAGACUCCUACGGGAGGCAGCAGUAGGGAAUCUUCCGCAAUGGGCGAAAGCCUGACGGAGCAACGCCGCGUGAGUGAUGAAGGUCUUCGGAUCGUAAAACUCUGUUAUUAGGGAAGAACAAAUGUGUAAGUAACUAUGCACGUCUUGACGGUACCUAAUCAGAAAGCCACGGCUAACUACGUG